AGGGCGCACGGUGGAUGCCUUGGCACUAGGAGCCGAAGAAGGACGUGACAAACGACGAAAUGCCUCGGGGAGCUGUAAGUAAGCACUUGAUCCGGGGAUGUCCGAAUGGGGGAACCCAACAGGUUGAUGCCUGUUACCCAUUUCUGUUAAGGGAAUGAGGAGGAAGACGCAGUGAACUGAAACAUCUAAGUAGCUGCAGGAAGAGAAAGCAAAAGCGAUUGCCUUAGUAGCGGCGAGCGAAGAGGCAGGAGGGCAAACCGAAGAGUUUACUCUUCGGGGUUGUAGGACUGCAAUGUGGACUCAGAAUUUAUAGAAGAAUGACUUGGGAAAGUCAGCCAAAGAGAGUAAGAGCCUCGUAUUUUAAAUAGAUUCUGUACCUAGCAGUAUCCUGAGUACGGCGGGACACGUGAAAUCCCGUCGGAAUCUGGGAGGACCAUCUCCCAACCCUAAAUACUCCCUAGUGACCGAUAGUGAACCAGUACCGUGAGGGAAAGGUGAAAAGCACCCCGGGAGGGGAGUGAAAUAGAACCUGAAACCGUGUGCCUACAACAAGUUCGAGCCCGUUAAUGGGUGAGAGCGUGCCUUUUGUAGAAUGAACCGGCGAGUUACGUUAUGAUGCGAGGUUAAGUUGAAGAGACGGAGCCGUAGGGAAACCGAGUCUGAAUAGGGCGCUUUAGUAUCAUGAUGUAGACCCGAAACCAUGUGACCUACCCAUGAGCAGGUUGAAGGUGCGGUAAAACGCACUGGAGGACCGAACCAGGGCACGUUGAAAAGUGCUUGGAUGACUUGUGGGUAGCGGAGAAAUUCCAAACGAACUUGGAGAUAGCUGGUUCUCUCCGAAAUAGCUUUAGGGCUAGCGUCGACAUGAAGAUUCUUGGAGGUAGAGCACUGUUUGGGUGAGGGGUCCAUCCCGGAUUACCAAUCUCAGAUAAACUCCGAAUGCCAAUGAAUUAUGGUCGGCAGUCAGACUGCGAGUGCUAAGAUCCGUAGUCGAAAGGGAAACAGCCCAGACCACCAGCUAAGGUCCCAAAAUAAUUGUUAAGUGGAAAAGGAUGUGGGGUUGCACAGACAACUAGGAUGUUAGCUUAGAAGCAGCUAUUCAUUCAAAGAGUGCGUAAUAGCUCACUAGUCGAGUGACCCUGCGCCGAAAAUGUACCGGGGCUAAAACAAUUUACCGAAGCUGUGGAUACCUUUUAUAGGUAUGGUAGGAGAGCGUUCUAUGUGUGGAGAAGGUGUACCGUGAGGAGCGCUGGAACGCAUAGAAGUGAGAAUGCCGGUAUGAGUAGCGCAAGACAGGUGAGAAUCCUGUCCACCGUAAGACUAAGGUUUCCAGGGGAAGGCUCGUCCGCCCUGGGUUAGUCGGGACCUAAGGAGAGACCGAAAGGUGUAUCCGAUGGACAACAGGUUGAUAUUCCUGUACUAGAGUAUGAAGUGAUGGAGGGACGCAGUAGGCUAACUCGUGCGUACGAAUGGAUGUACGUCUAAGCAGUGAGGCGUGGUAUGAGUCAAAUGCUUAUACCUGUAACGUUGAGCUGUGAUGGGGAGCGAAGUUUAGUAGCGAGUGAGUGAUGUCACACUGCCAAGAAAAGCUUCUAGCGUUGUAUCAUACUCUACCCGUACCGCAAACCGACACAGGUAGUCGAGGCGAGUAGCCUCAGGUGAGCGAGAGAACUCUCGUUAAGGAACUCGGCAAAAUGACCCCGUAACUUCGGGAGAAGGGGUGCUGACAGAAAUGUCAGCCGCAGUGAAUAGGCCCAGGCGACUGUUUAUCAAAAACACAGGUCUCUGCAAAAUCGAAAGAUGACGUAUAGGGGCUGACGCCUGCCCGGUGCUGGAAGGUUAAGAGGAGUGCUUAGGAGUAAUCCGAAGGUAUGAAUUGAAGCCCCAGUAAACGGCGGCCGUAACUAUAACGGUCCUAAGGUAGCGAAAUUCCUUGUCGGGUAAGUUCCGACCCGCACGAAAGGCGUAAUGAUUUGGGCACUGUCUCAACGAGAGACUCGGUGAAAUUUUAGUACCUGUGAAGAUGCAGGUUACCCGCGACAGGACGGAAAGACCCCAUGGAGCUUUACUGCAGUUUGAUAUUGAGUGUCUGUGCCACAUGUACAGGAUAGGUAGGAGCCUAUGAGAUCGGGACGCCAGUUUCGAUGGAGGCGUUGUUGGGAUACUACCCUUGUGUUAUGGCCACUCUAACCCGGAUAGGUGAUCCCUAUCGGAGACAGUGUCUGACGGGCAGUUUGACUGGGGCGGUCGCCUCCUAAAAGGUAACGGAGGCGCCCAAAGGUUCC
RNAcentral lists this ribosomal RNA (2285 nucleotides) under human metagenome. Its description in RNAcentral is "bacterial LSU rRNA". It matches the Rfam family "Bacterial large subunit ribosomal RNA", at positions 14 to 2320 of the family's 2925-position model. The record is from RNAcentral.